Molecule: ribosomal RNA, 253 nt
Filed under: uncultured bacterium
Lineage: Bacteria
Description: partial 16S ribosomal RNA
Rfam family: Bacterial small subunit ribosomal RNA
Source: RNAcentral
UACAGAGGUCUCAAGCGUUGUUCGGAUUCAUUGGGCGUAAAGGGCGCGUAGGCGGGAUGGCAAGUCGGUCGUGAAAUCCUUCGGCUCAACCGAAGAACGUCGGCCGAUACUGCCGUUCUUGAGGGAUGCAGAGGAGAUUGGAAUUCCCGGUGUAGCGGUGAAAUGUGUAGAGAUCGGGAGGAACACCGGUGGCGAAGGCGGGUCUCUGGGCAUCUCCUGACGCUGAGGCGCGAAAGCGUGGGGAGCAAACGGG